AGCUGAUCAGCCAUGCCGCGUGUGUGAAGAAGGUCUUCGGAUUGUAAAGCACUUUAAGUUGGGAGGAAGGGUUGUAGAUUAAUACUCUGCAAUUUUGACGUUACCGACAGAAUAAGCACCGGCUAACUCUGUGCCAGCAGCCGCGGUAAUACAGAGGGUGCAAGCGUUAAUCGGAAUUACUGGGCGUAAAGCGCGCGUAGGUGGUUCGUUAAGUUGGAUGUGAAAUCCCCGGGCUCAACCUGGGAACUGCAUUCAAAACUGUCGAGCUAGAGUAUGGUAGAGGGUGGUGGAAUUUCCUGUGUAGCGGUGAAAUGCGUAGAUAUAGGAAGGAACACCAGUGGCGAAGGCGACCACCUGGACUGAUACUGACACUGAGGUGCGAAAGCGUGGGGAGCAAACAGGAUUAG
This 407-nucleotide ribosomal RNA is filed under the name Pseudomonas koreensis. Its description in RNAcentral is "bacterial SSU rRNA". It matches the Rfam family "Bacterial small subunit ribosomal RNA", at positions 381 to 781 of the family's 1533-position model. Lineage: Bacteria; Pseudomonadati; Pseudomonadota; Gammaproteobacteria; Pseudomonadales; Pseudomonadaceae. The record is from RNAcentral.